Molecule: ribosomal RNA, 449 nt
Filed under: uncultured bacterium
Lineage: Bacteria
Description: partial 16S ribosomal RNA
Rfam family: Bacterial small subunit ribosomal RNA
Source: RNAcentral
UGCCAGACUCCUACGGGAGGCAGCAGUGGGGAAUAUUGCACAAUGGGGGGAACCCUGAUGCAGCGACGCCGCGUGGGCGAGGAAGUAUUUCGGUAUGUAAAGCCCUAUCGGCAGGGAAGAAGAAAUGACGGUACCUGAAUAAGAAGCACCGGCUAAAUACGUGCCAGCAGCCGCGGUAAUACGUAUGGUGCAAGCGUUAUCCGGAUUUACUGGGCGUAAAGGGGGCGCAGACGGCAGCGCAAGCCAGGAGUGAAAGCCCGGGGCCCAACCCCGGGACUGCUCUUGGAACUGCGCGGCUGGAGUGCAGGAGGGGCAGGCGGAAUUCCUGGUGUAGCGGUGAAAUGCGUAGAUAUCAGGAGGAACACCGGCGGCGAAGGCGGCCUGCUGGACCGUGACUGACGUUGAGGCUCGAGAGCGUGGGGAGCAAACAGGAUUAGAUACCCUUGUAA